RNAcentral lists this small RNA (850 nucleotides) under Pan troglodytes (chimpanzee). Its description in RNAcentral is "retained intron". The record is from RNAcentral. Lineage: Eukaryota; Metazoa; Chordata; Mammalia; Primates; Hominidae.
GGGAUUUUGCUGUGUUGCCCAGGCUGGUCUUGAACUUCUGGGCUCAAGUGAUCCUCUCUCCAAAGUGCUGGGAUUACAGACGUGAGCCACCACACCCAGGCUUGUUCACUUUAGUGGAAAUAUUAUUUUAUCAGAGAUGUCUUCUUAACCCCUGAUGAUGUUAGGAACCCCUUAUGAAAUGCCUUUAUUAGCCCCUCAUACCACAAAUGUAUUCACAGGUAUCUUCCCUGGGCCAUUUUUUUAAUAAUGUAUUGAGCACCUACCACAUUGCCAAGCACUAUGUUAGAAGCUGACUAUAGAGUAGUAAAUACAAUAAUAAAUUGAGACUUAUGUUUUGUAUGUCUUUAGGUUUUCUUACCUAAUUUUUCUAUUAAUUCAUUUUUAUGGCAUUCUUUAAAAGUAUUGAUCUGUGAUGGCUACUGAAUUUUAAAAAAAAUUGUCUUUUACCACAGAUAGUUUGAGAAAUAUUGAAUUAUAGCACAUUCAUUGUUUGCUAACUAAUUACAAUCUAAUUUUUCUUGGUCCAUUUUUUAAAGGAGGCAAUGCUUGAGAAAGAGUUGAAGGGAUAGUCCAUUUUUGUUAAAUAAGCAUACAGUGUUAGAUCAUGUGUAAAACUGACUUUAAUUUAUUAAUUUACUUUUGUGUUAUUUCAGGAAAUAAAAAGAACUCGACUACAAAUUACAGGGGCACAGCAGAAAGUGUGAAUGCUGGUGCAAACCUACAGAAUUAUGGUGAAACUUCUCCAGAUGCCAUCAGUACAAAUUCAGAAGGUGCUCAGGAAAAUCAUGAUGACCUGAUGUCCGUUGUGGUAUUUAAAAUUACUGGUGUUAAUGGGGAAAUUGACAUCCGA